RNAcentral lists this ribosomal RNA (446 nucleotides) under uncultured bacterium. RNAcentral describes it as "partial 16S ribosomal RNA". It matches the Rfam family "Bacterial small subunit ribosomal RNA", at positions 29 to 522 of the family's 1533-position model. The record is from RNAcentral.
AACGAACGCUGGCGGCAGGCUUAACACAUGCAAGUCGAACGCCCCGCAAGGGGAGUGGCAGACGGGUGAGUAACGCGUGGGAAUCUACCGUAGCCUACGGAACAACAGUUGGAAACGACUCCUAAUACCGUAAACGCCCUACGGGGGAAAUAAUUAUCGGUGUAUGAUGAGCCCGCGUUGGAUUAGCUAGUGGGUGGGGUAAAGACCUACCAAGGCGACGAUCCAUAGCUGGUCUGAGAGGAUGAUCAGCCACAUUGGGACUGAGGCACGGCCCAAACUCGUACGGGAGGGAGCAGUAGGAAAUAAUGGACAAAGGGCGCAAGUCUGAUUCAGUCAUGCCGCGUGAGGUAUGAAGGUCUUAGGAUUGUAAGGCUCUUUCAACGAUGAAGAUAAUGACGGUAGUCGAAGAAGAAGCCCCGGCUAACUUCGUGUCAGCCGCCGCUGUA